Falco peregrinus (peregrine falcon) is the source of this 1841-nucleotide RNA transcript. It is a transcript of the gene named C-X9-C motif containing 4, with no coding region annotated. The record is from RefSeq and is a predicted model, not a curated record. NCBI's taxonomy places the organism in Eukaryota, Metazoa, Chordata, Aves, Falconiformes, Falconidae. The transcript is spliced from 4 exons.
GCCGGGGGAGGCCGCGGGGUCAGAGGGGAGGGUGGGAAGGCUUUGCGUGGUGCACACGGCGCUGGCUGUCACCUGGCGCAGGGCUGCAGAUGGUACCCCAGGUAGACCUUCCCUCCCCACGCUGCGGGACAGCCCCGGCUGGUCGGUGAGCAUCGUUAUCCCUCAGUAGGUCGGGCGGAGCGGAGAGUGGAGUCCCGGAGGUGCUUGCCUGGGGCCAGUGCUCCGAGCAGAGUAGAGUCCAAACCCCCAAGAAGAAGCUUUAGAAUAAAGAAUGAAGACUGUCUGUACCAUUUUGAUUACCUCUUCUAGGGUUCAAAGAGAGAAUCAUUCCCCCUGGCCUUCAUUUGCUAAUGGCUCAGCUUGAUCUAACUGGUAUACAGAUAAACUUGCUGUUAAACAAAAAGUCCGGUAGGAAGAACCAUCUCAAUGUCCAAAAUUCCUUUGCCCCUGCUGGUAUUGGUGGCUCUCUGUAACCAUCUAAAAGCUGAACUACGCAAAGUCACGAGAGCUAUUCACAAGAAGCUUGUGUGUGAAUGGACAAUGCUGCCAUCUUCUUGAGAGAUGAGACGAAGGACCCUUCACAAUGACAGCUCCGCAAGUUCCAAAUAUGAGAGUCGUGCAUACGGAGUUUCAUGCUUUGUCUCCAGAGUGAUCUUCGUUCUUGUUAAGCUAAUUUCACCUCUUGUCACAAGUUUUGCUUUUGGGAUUUAGACCAUCAUUAGCCACGGAACUCCUGUGUAAAUCACUGUUUUCUUUCUCUUCCCCCCACCCACCCCUGCCCCCCCGCCCCGAUUUUACACAAAGACUGUUAAUAGGACUGUUAGUGGAAUAAGCAAAGCCAAUAUUCACAGGGUUUAACUUUGCACCAAUAGCACCUUUUGCCCCAGAAUGCCUUACAAACGCCAUACAGCACGCAUGUCCCAGUGCACAACUUGUCAUGAGAUUUCUGUUCACUUAGGCACCACCUUAGUGUUCCAAGCUGACUUUUAGGGACAUUUCAGCACAUAGCAUCUCAUACCGUAAGUCACACGCCACCCAGAGGUGCCUUUGAGGUCUGGGAGCUUUCUACGUGAAUGUAUUCAGAGCUAAAGAGACCAUGCAUGCAUCCUGCGAGUUGAUGCCGUCCACCUAACGGGACCAUCCUGAAGUGACUGAGGGAAUGGCAGAAGGAGGGCACGCAGGCGCUCCUCCUGUCCGGCUGUGGGUGCGACGCGUAGGUGUUUACUGCGAUGAGCACCGCAAAACGUGGCUUGUGGCUGCGGAAGAGGCAAGUGUCCUUUGAGCUUCCCAGUGAUUGUAGCUUUGCUGUUGCAGGUGCCUCUACUGAAUUGCCAGUAACUGCCUGCUCUUUUUGUUACUUUCCCCCAGGAGGAAGGUAUGCUGAGGGCUCGGAUCCAAAGAGUUCAGGUUCCCCUGGGUGAGGCGCUGCGACCCAGCCAGCUCCCCCCAUCCCGGCUGCCUCAUAUGUGGCAGCUGUCCCAGGGUGAGCAGUACAGGGAUAGUAACUCUCGCGUUUGGGAGAUAGAGCACCAUCUCAUGGUAAGGAUGGUGGCAACAAUAGACCAUAGUCAUGCCUGUUUGUGAAGUCAUUUGAGAUCCUUGAGGGACGGCAAAGGACUGUUAUUUUGUUGAAGUCCAUUAGCUCAGCCGCAGUAACUGUAGACGUAUUGAACUUUUCCUUGUCGCUUACAGCUUGGUGGUGUUGAAGAACUGCUGCUUAAACUCGUGCCUGGUGAUUAAUCUGGAGCAGUGGCUCUAGGAAGAUGUCGUUGUAUAUUUUGUACAAUAAAUGAUUCUUUCUCCACUGAAAUGCAGCCACCUCUGAGGUGGAAGCAGUUAAA